RNAcentral lists this ribosomal RNA (292 nucleotides) under uncultured Acidobacteriota bacterium. RNAcentral describes it as "uncultured Acidobacteria bacterium partial 16S ribosomal RNA". Lineage: Bacteria; Pseudomonadati; Acidobacteriota. The record is from RNAcentral.
GGACUACCGGGGUUUCUAAUCCCGUUUGCUCCCCUGGCUUUCGCUCCUCAGCGUCAGAAUUGGUCCAGGAUGCCGCCUUCGCCACCGGUGUUCCUCCAGAUAUCUACGCAUUUCACCGCUACACCUGGAAUUCCGCAUCCCUCUCCCAACCUCAAGCCAUCCAGUAUCAGACGCAGUUCCCCGGUUAAGCCGAGGGAUUUCACGUCUGACUUAGUUGGCCGCCUACGAGCCCUUUACGCCCAGUAAUUCCGAACAACGCUCGCACCCUCUGUAUUACCGCGGCUGCUGGCAC